CCACUUGUUGUUCCAAUAGGGUCGGAAGCGUGUAAAUUAUUGUACUAAAAAAUCACACAAAGUUCAAUUCCCAGGGAAGAGAGGUGGAUCAUAUGGAUCUCUUAAAUACCAAGUCUUUCCUUAGUCAGAAUAUCCCUUCUAUAGUAAUUUAAUAGCACAAUUAAAUACUACUAUUAUACCCUCAAAUAUUGAAAGAAAA
Molecule: long non-coding RNA, 199 nt
Filed under: Gossypium barbadense (sea-island cotton)
Lineage: Eukaryota; Viridiplantae; Streptophyta; Magnoliopsida; Malvales; Malvaceae
Description: long non-coding RNA (GBAR_LNC015209)
Source: RNAcentral